GCCGUGUCUAACUUUUUUGGCAAGGGGAUUGAAAAUCCCCGUGUCCUUGGUUCGAUUCCGAGUCCGGGCACCA
This 73-nucleotide transfer RNA is filed under the name Salmonella enterica. Its description in RNAcentral is "tRNA-Ser". The record is from RNAcentral. Lineage: Bacteria; Pseudomonadati; Pseudomonadota; Gammaproteobacteria; Enterobacterales; Enterobacteriaceae.